This 450-nucleotide ribosomal RNA is filed under the name uncultured bacterium. RNAcentral's name for it is "partial 16S ribosomal RNA". It matches the Rfam family "Bacterial small subunit ribosomal RNA", at positions 354 to 796 of the family's 1533-position model. The record is from RNAcentral.
GUGAGGAAUAUUGGGCAAUGGGCGAAAGCCUGACCCAGCCACGCCGCGUGAGUGAUGAAGGCCUUCGGGUUGUAAAGCUCUGUGGGGAGGGAAGAAAAAGCGGGAGAGUAACUGCUCUCGUGUUGACGGUACCUCCUUAGCAAGCACCGGCUAACUCUGUGCCAGCAGCCGCGGUAAUACAGAGGGUGCAAACGUUGCUCGGAAUUACUGGGCGUAAAGCGCGUGUAGGCUGACAUGCAAGUCGGUUGUGAAAUCCCAGGGCUCAACCUUGGAACUGCACUCGAAACUGCACGUCUUGAGUACUGGAGAGGGAAGCGGAAUUCCGGGUGUAGAGGUGAAAUUCGUAGAUAUCCGGAGGAACACCAGUGGCGAAGGCGGCUUCCUGGACAGUAACUGACGCUGAGACGCGAAAGCGUGGGGAGCAAACAGGAUUAGAUACCCGGGUAGUCC